UCUUGGUGCCCCUUAGCAUUUUAAGUGCACAAGAGAGAGGGUGUGGCCCCUCUCUCUCUCCUUCCAUGCCCAGACAAAAGAGAGGGCAGGCCCCUCUUUCAUUCUCUCACCAACUCCAAGGGAUUGUGCCCCUUGGACUUUCUAAAAAGGGAGGCUUGCGCCUCCUCUAUUCUUUCCAAUAAUUUCAUACCACAUAAGAAAAUAACAAGAAAAAAAAUAAGAAGAUUAAUUUACCAAC
This 238-nucleotide long non-coding RNA is filed under the name Elaeis guineensis (African oil palm). Its description in RNAcentral is "long non-coding RNA (EGUI_LNC044258)". Lineage: Eukaryota; Viridiplantae; Streptophyta; Magnoliopsida; Arecales; Arecaceae. The record is from RNAcentral.